AUGAACGCUAGCGACAGGCCUAACACAUGCAAGUCGAGGGGCAGCACAAGGAGCAAUCUGAGGUGGCGACCGGCGCACGGGUGAGUAACACGUAUGCAACCUGCCUGUAAGCGGGGAAUAACCCGUUGAAAGACGGACUAAUACCGCAUAACUACUAAAUUACUGCAAUGGUAAUUUAUUUAAACAUUUAUGGCUUACAGAUGGGCAUGCGCAUGAUUAGCUAGUUGGAGAGGUAACGGCUCCCCAAGGCAACGAUCAUUAGGGGUUCUGAGAGGAAGGUCCCCCACACUGGUACUGAGACACGGACCAGACUCCUACGGGAGGCAGCAGUGAGGAAUAUUGGUCAAUGGACGAGAGUCUGAACCAGCCAAGUCGCGUGCAGGAAGAAUGUCCUAUUGGAUUGUAAACUGCUUUUGCAGGGGAAUAAAGUGCAUCACGUGUGAUGUUUUGUAUGUACUCUGCGAAUAAGGAUCGGCUAACUCCGUGCCAGCAGCAGC
RNAcentral lists this ribosomal RNA (497 nucleotides) under uncultured bacterium. RNAcentral's name for it is "bacterial SSU rRNA". It matches the Rfam family "Bacterial small subunit ribosomal RNA", at positions 29 to 518 of the family's 1533-position model. The record is from RNAcentral.